GACGGAGGGUGCUAGCGUUGUUCGGAAUCACUGGGCGUAAAGGGCGCGUAGGCGGCCUCAGGUGUCGGAUGUGAAAGCCCGGGGCUCAACCCCGGAGGUGCAUCCGAAACUCUGGGGCUGGAGGUCGGAAGAGGAGGGUGGAAUACCCAGUGUAGAGGUGAAAUUCGUAGAUAUCAAGUGGAACACCGGUGGCGAAGGCGGCCUUCUGGACAGUGACUGACGCUGAGACGCGAAAGCGUGGGGAGCAAACAGG
RNAcentral lists this ribosomal RNA (253 nucleotides) under uncultured bacterium. Its description in RNAcentral is "partial 16S ribosomal RNA". It matches the Rfam family "Bacterial small subunit ribosomal RNA", at positions 524 to 776 of the family's 1533-position model. The record is from RNAcentral.